Molecule: ribosomal RNA, 440 nt
Filed under: uncultured bacterium
Lineage: Bacteria
Description: partial 16S ribosomal RNA
Rfam family: Bacterial small subunit ribosomal RNA
Source: RNAcentral
CCUACGGGUGGCAGCAGUGGGGAAUAUUGCUCAAUGGGGGAAACCCUGAUGCAGCGACGCCGCGUGAGUGAUGAAGUAUUUCGGUAUGUAAAGCUCUUUCAGCCGGGAAGAAAAUGACGGUCCCUGAUUAAGAAGCCCCGGAUAACUACUUGCCAGCAGCCGCGGUAAUACGUAGGGGGCAAGCGUUAUCCGGAUUUACUGGGUGUAAAGGGAGCGUAGACGGCAGCACAAGUCGUGAGUGAAAUGCCGGGGCUUAACCCCGGAACUGCUUUGGAAACGGUGCGGCUAGUGUGCUGGAGAGGUAAGUGGAAUUCCUAGUGUAGCGGUGAAAUGCGUAGAUAUUAGGAGGAACACCAGUGGCGAAGGCGGCUUACUGGACUGUAACUGACGUUGAGGCUCGAAAGCGUGGGGAGCAAACAGGAUUAGAUACCCGGGUAGUC